This is an RNA transcript of Podarcis raffonei (Aeolian wall lizard), 2065 nucleotides long. RefSeq lists it as uncharacterized. The transcript has 4 exons. NCBI's taxonomy places the organism in Eukaryota, Metazoa, Chordata, Lepidosauria, Squamata, Lacertidae. The record is from RefSeq and is a predicted model, not a curated record.
UCAGAAUAUCUUUAACUAUGUAACGUAACUAAUGUACACCUCAUGACCAUGUUUGCAAACAGCAGCAGCUUAAGUGUUGCAAUUGUACGCUUAAUUUACAUCUGGGUUUAUAUAAAAAUAAUUGUGAUAAUGUAUAAUGGCUUUUCUAUAUCCUGAGGCAUCUUAGUCCUCUUGAAUUAAAAAGUCAUUCUCUGAGAAGACCCAUUGAAUUUGAGGGAUCUCAGUUAAUCAUGACUUAUGUCCAUUGAAUUCAGUUGGUCUAUUCAAUAGUAUGAUGCAGCUCAUUGUUGUCUUCUGCUGAUAUGACUGUGAAGCUGCACAACUACCCUUUAGCAUAGACAGUCCCACUGAAUAUAUUUGAAGAAGAAUAGCUGUCCCAUUAAUAGAUCUUUUGGAAAUGCCCUUGUUCAAAAUUCAACAAACUGCAAGCACUCAUGUUUCAGUUAUGAUCAUUUAGAGGGAUCUUUAAGAUGUCAAGAUAAUUCCUUUAAAAAAAAAUAAUUGAGAGGGAUUUGAGUGCCUACCAAUCAAAAUAUCUCAAGCUGAGUCUAUAUGUGCCUUGCCAGCAUCUACUUGUGUUUUCUGGGAUUUGUGACCUCAUUUGUGACAUAUCUUCUGUGUCAUAUAGAAUAAAAGCUCACAAAACUCUACGAAGCCCUUAAUACUUUUAUCCAUGGUGUUGAAUUCACAAUCAGGAAAGCAAAAGGGGGGCCUUUCCCCACAAAAGUAUAUUCAUGGGAAUAUGGUGCAGCUUCUAAUCAAUUUUUAUGUAAGAUUGGCACAGGGUGAAAUCUUUAGUGAACUUGAAAAUGGAAGAGAGAUAUUCAUCACUUAAGUGUUCAUUUGCAAGUCCAGUUCUUAGAAUACAGUCAUAACUGUUCUGCAUGUAUGCUCCUAAUGUCUGAGCCAACUGCUUAUUUCUACCAGUAGCUCUUCUCUGUGAUGCUUUCUUCAGAAUGCUUUCUCUUCUGCCCCAACUGUCAUCGCCAACUGCUUCAGAAUACACUUGAGUCCAGAGUUCUGCCCUUUCCUGCCUGCCUCCCUCCAACCUGUGAGAUAGCCACCUCCCUAAAGGUUCCUUUCGAGUUCGAAAAGCGAAGGAAGAUGUCCUGCUUACUCGUCAUUCACUGUGCUUUCUUAUUACUUCCGUUCUGGGAAUUGAGCUGAAAUACAGCCACUGUGCUGAAUUAUUAUUUUCACUUGAGCUUGAAUCACAAGCAUAAAAAGUAAAAUUUUGCCCUGUCCGUUGAACCUGAAUCCACUCCCCAUGGAGGACUUAAUGGCCUGUCAACCAGAUUUUGACCUGCCAUGGUGCCACUAAACUCCUGUGAAAAGGACUGGAAAAAUCCCAGAAAUUGUCAGCUGCCUAAAAUGUUGCUUUGGUGCCAAAUUUCCAUCCUUCAUCAGGACUCGUACUUUUUAAAAAAACAACAACCUGGAGAGCCUUAUUCUGACAACUGAAAAUCUGCAGUAUUUUAUGCCCACUUUUGCAACAGCAAAAUUCUGGGAUAAGGCAGACUUAAUGGUUCUUAUUGAUAUUACUUGCGUCUACCAUAAGAGAUCCUUGCCUUCAUAAGACUAUCAUCGAAUCAGGAGGGAACUCAAAGGUCAUCCAUCACAAGAUUAAGGAAGGCACAUGCAGCACCCAACCGUGGGACCAAAGCAUCUCUCUGCCACGGACAGAGCCAUGUUCAGAGGUCAACAAAUUGGGGGUUGCCUUAGUGACCAACAAAAGCCUGGAGCAACAGUGACCUGGAAGGGACAGAAACAAGCCCCCAUGCACUCACUGAAGCCAAAGAGGGGCGGCAGAGGUUUGCUCUAGCUCUCUGCUUGCGUCUUGCAGAGAUCCACAACCAACUUCCAGACUUCCACCCAAGUUUGGGGCUAGGACCAUCAGCUUGUCUCUCUCACCACAGCCCAGCUGAACUCCCACCAUGGUAGAGAAGCCAAGCUGGUCUGUCAAACCAUGGCCAGGUCUCUUGUCUUGGAGAGGGCACAUCCCCUUCCACUCUGUUGCCUCUCCUGAAGUCACUAUGAAAUAAAUAAAUAAACUAUCCUCCCCCUA